UGGGCUUUGAUCUGGGUCUUUGCUUUGGUGU
RNAcentral lists this non-coding RNA (31 nucleotides) under Mus musculus (house mouse). The record is from RNAcentral. Lineage: Eukaryota; Metazoa; Chordata; Mammalia; Rodentia; Muridae.